ACACAUGCAAGUCGAACGGCAGCACGGGAGCAAUCCUGGUGGCGAGGUGGCGAACGGGUGAGUAAUAUAUCGGAACGUGCCCAGUCGUGGGGGAUAACGUAGCGAAAGCUACGCUAAUACCGCAUACGAUCUAUGGAUGAAAGCGGGGGAUCGCAAGACCUCGCGCGAUUGGAGCGGCCGAUAUCAGAUUAGGUAGUUGGUGAGGUAAAGGCUCACCAAGCCGACGAUCUGUAGCUGGUCUGAGAGGACGACCAGCCACACUGGGACUGAGACACGGCCCAGACUCCUACGGGAGGCAGCAGUGGGGAAUUUUGGACAAUGGGCGCAAGCCUGAUCCAGCAAUGCCGCGUGCAGGAUGAAGGCCUUCGGGUUGUAAACUGCUUUGUACGGAACGAAACGGUGAGCUCUAAUACAGUUUGCUAAUGACGGUACCGUAAGAAUAAGCACCGGCUAACUACGUG
This 461-nucleotide ribosomal RNA is filed under the name uncultured bacterium. RNAcentral describes it as "bacterial SSU rRNA". It matches the Rfam family "Bacterial small subunit ribosomal RNA", at positions 51 to 507 of the family's 1533-position model. The record is from RNAcentral.